RNAcentral lists this transfer RNA (71 nucleotides) under Loxodonta africana (African savanna elephant). It matches the Rfam family "tRNA". From Rfam's summary of the family: Transfer RNA (tRNA) molecules are approximately 80 nucleotides in length. The record is from Rfam by way of RNAcentral. Lineage: Eukaryota; Metazoa; Chordata; Mammalia; Proboscidea; Elephantidae.
GCUGUGGUGGUUCAGAGGUAGAAUUCUCACCUUCUAAGCUGGAAACCCAGGAUGGAUUCCUGGCCAAUGCA